UAGGGAAUCUUCGGCAAUGGACGGAAGUCUGACCGAGCAACGCCGCGUGAGUGAAGAAGGUUUUCGGAUCGUAAAGCUCUGUUGUUAGAGAAGAACGUUGGUAGGAGUGGAAAAUCUACCAAGUGACGGUAACUAACCAGAAAGGGACGGCUAACUACGUGCCAGCAGCCGCGGUAAUACGUAGGUCCCGAGCGUUGUCCGGAUUUAUUGGGCGUAAAGCGAGCGCAGGCGGUUCUUUAAGUCUGAAGUUAAAGGCAGUGGCUUAACCAUUGUACGCUUUGGAAACUGGAGGAAUUGAGUGCAGAAGAGGAGAGUGGAAUUCCAUGUGUAGCGGUGAAAUGCGUAGAUAUAUGGAGGAACACCGGUGGCGAAAGCGGCUCUCUGGUCUGUAACUGACGCUGAGGCUCGAAAGCGUGGGGAGCAAACAGG
Molecule: ribosomal RNA, 429 nt
Filed under: Bacillota bacterium
Lineage: Bacteria; Bacillati; Bacillota
Description: Firmicutes bacterium partial 16S ribosomal RNA
Rfam family: Bacterial small subunit ribosomal RNA
Source: RNAcentral